Molecule: long non-coding RNA, 1078 nt
Organism: Alligator sinensis (Chinese alligator)
Lineage: Eukaryota; Metazoa; Chordata; Crocodylia; Alligatoridae
Exons: 3
Source: RefSeq, a predicted model, not a curated record
AUGGAUAUAUAUGGGCACUUCACAAAAGAAACUGUUUUACAGUGGGGGGAGAUGCCAGCCUCUGUAGCUUAUCUUCAGUCUAACCAGGCCAUGGGCUGGGGAGAGAAAGCUAUUGAACUGCGCUCUGUGGAAACAGGAAAUCUGGAAGGCGUAUUUAUGCACAAGAAAGCACAGAAGCUAAAAUUUCUGUGUGAAAGAAAUGACAAGGUGUUCUUUGCGUCUGUACAAUCAGGAGGCUGCAGUCAAAUUUACUUUAUGACACUUGGUCAAAACAUACUAUUCAACUGGUAAAUCAUCUCAGAACGAAGGAUGCUUUGAAGUUCCCAGCAGAUAGAAGCAGUGUCAAAAGUUUGGAGGUUAUGCACACAUAUUUGCACUUUUUACUUACAAGAAUCUCAUUGUUAUUAACUUUCAACAUUCAUAUUCCUUCAGUCAGGAAGAAAUUCCAUUUUCCUGUCAAAUUAUUGCAAAAGUGUUUCUUUCCAUCUACGAAAAACAUGGUGCAAACCAAGACUGAAUUCACAAUGUAGCAAAUAGCAACUGUAAUGAAAAAUGUAGUGAAUAUAACAGGCUCCUGCACUCUGACAAGUGUACAUGUUUUGCACAGAUAUUGUAAUUUUAUUAUUUUGAACUGAAAUCUUUCUCUUUGGACGCAAUAUCUGCAGUAUCAAAUAUCUGUAUUGAGUUGUGAGUUAGAAUCUACUUGAUUUUGAAUUGUUUCUAGCUUGCUUGACUUUCUUUUAACCAAAUUAUUACUGUCCGAGUCUCACUAGUGAGCUAGCAACUAUUCACAAAGGAGCUUAGCGCACACUUGGGCAUUCAGGGAUAGAUGCAUGCCCUGGGUGUGGAUGUGCUUUGCUGCAGAGCUUUGUAGAAUCAGCUACUGGAUACAUAGGCAUCAGCCCAGGAGCAGAUUUUACAAAAUGCAUAGGGCUGACUCUGUUAAUCUCUCAAGACAGGAUGCCUUAGUCCUUAGACACAGUUACUGUAGAAUGUAUUUGUAAAGAGAAUUUAAAUAGCAGUUUAUCAGAACCAAUAAACACAGGGCAUCAUGGACAUUUAUAGACGUGCUCCAGGA